Molecule: non-coding RNA, 261 nt
Organism: Schizosaccharomyces pombe (fission yeast)
Lineage: Eukaryota; Fungi; Ascomycota; Schizosaccharomycetes; Schizosaccharomycetales; Schizosaccharomycetaceae
Source: the annotation of a GenBank genome assembly
CGGACAACCUUCUUUGCAACCAUACGACCAACACGAUCAUGCAAGUCGGCAAAAUGAAUACUAAUUUGUUGAUAAAUUGGCAUAAGCUUCUGUUCGCGUUCCAUCAACUUGACCUUUAUAGUUGAAAGGUCAUCAGCACUCAAAUCAUCUCUUUUAAGCUCAUUGCACAAUGAUGCAUAUUUAUGAUCACAGCGUCGCAUCAAAGAAAGCAACUUUUCACGUCUGAAUUUAAUACUGACCAUACCUUCAGGUUCCAAAACA